RNAcentral lists this unclassified non-coding RNA (372 nucleotides) under soil metagenome. Its description in RNAcentral is "partial contains 5.8S ribosomal RNA, internal transcribed spacer 2, and large subunit ribosomal RNA". The stretch from base 1 to 121 matches the Rfam family "5.8S ribosomal RNA", at positions 35 to 154 of the family's 154-position model. The record is from RNAcentral.
GAUGAAGAACGUAGCGAAAUGCGAUAAGUAAUGCGAAUUGCAGAAUUCCAGUGAGUCAUCGAAUCUUUGAACGCACAUUGCGCCCUUUGGUAUUCCGAAGGGCAUGCCUGUUCGAGCGUCAUUAUCACCCCUCAAGCCCUCGGCUUGGUGUUGGACGGUUUGGUGGAGGCCCCCUCGGGGGCUCCUGCCCCUCCCAAAGACAAUGACGGCGGCCUCGUUGGACCCCCGGUACACUGAGUUCUUCACGGGACACGUAUCGGACACAUGGGUUUACGGGACACGGUCUGCCUCCCCUCAGGGAGAAUCUUUCUAAGGUUGACCUCGGAUCAGGUAGGGAUACCCGCUGAACUUAAGCAUCUCAAUAGCGGAGGA